UUAAGUUAUUAAGGGCGCACGGUGGAUGCCUUGGCACUAGAAGCCGAUGAAGGACGUUACUAACGACGAUAUGCUUUGGGGAGCUGUAAGUAAGCUUUGAUCCAGAGAUUUCCGAAUGGGGAAACCCAGCAUGAGUUAUGUCAUGUUAUCGAUAUGUGAAUACAUAGCAUAUCAGAAGGCACACCCGGAGAACUGAAACAUCUUAGUACCCGGAGGAAGAGAAAGAAAAUUCGAUUCCCUUAGUAGCGGCGAGCGAAACGGGAAGAGCCCAAACCAACAAGCUUGCUUGUUGGGGUUGUAGGACACUCUAUACGGAGUUACAAAGGACGACAUUAGACGAAUCAUCUGGAAAGAUGAAUCAAAGAAGGUAAUAAUCCUGUAGUCGAAAAUGUUGUCUCUCUUGAGUGGAUCCUGAGUACGACGGAGCACGUGAAAUUCCGUCGGAAUCUGGGAGGACCAUCUCCUAAGGCUAAAUACUCUCUAGUGACCGAUAGUGAACCAGUACCGUGAGGGAAAGGUGAAAAGCACCCCGGAAGGGGAGUGAAAUAGAACCUGAAACCGUGUGCUUACAAGUAGUCAGAGCCCGUUAAUGGGUGAUGGCGUGCCUUUUGUAGAAUGAACCGGCGAGUUACGAUUUGAUGCAAGGUUAAGCAGUAAAUGUGGAGCCGUAGCGAAAGCGAGUCUGAAUAGGGCGUUUAGUAUUUGGUCGUAGACCCGAAACCAGGUGAUCUACCCUUGGUCAGGUUGAAGUUCAGGUAACACUGAAUGGAGGACCGAACCGACUUACGUUGAAAAGUGAGCGGAUGAACUGAGGGUAGCGGAGAAAUUCCAAUCGAACCUGGAGAUAGCUGGUUCUCUCCGAAAUAGCUUUAGGGCUAGCCUCAAGUGAUGAUUAUUGGAGGUAGAGCACUGUUUGGACGAGGGGCCCCUCUCGGGUUACCGAAUUCAGACAAACUCCGAAUGCUAAUUAAUUUAACUUGGGAGUCAGAACAUGGGUGAUAAGGUCCGUGUUCGAAAGGGAAACAGCCCAGACCACCAGCUAAGGUCCCAAAAUAUAUGUUAAGUGGAAAAGGAUGUGGCGUUGCCCAGACAACUAGGAUGUUGGCUUAGAAGCAGCCAUCAUUUAAAGAGUGCGUAAUAGCUCACUAGUCGAGUGACACUGCGCCGAAAAUGUACCGGGGCUAAACAUAUUACCGAAGCUGUGGAUUGUCCUUUGGACAAUGGUAGGAGAGCGUUCUAAGGGCGUUGAAGCAUGAUCGUAAGGACAUGUGGAGCGCUUAGAAGUGAGAAUGCCGGUGUGAGUAGCGAAAGACGGGUGAGAAUCCCGUCCACCGAUUGACUAAGGUUUCCAGAGGAAGGCUCGUCCGCUCUGGGUUAGUCGGGUCCUAAGCUGAGGCCGACAGGCGUAGGCGAUGGAUAACAGGUUGAUAUUCCUGUACCACCUAUAAUCGUUUUAAUCGAUGGGGGGACGCAGUAGGAUAGGCGAAGCGUGCGAUUGGAUUGCACGUCUAAGCAGUAAGGCUGAGUAUUAGGCAAAUCCGGUACUCAUUAAGGCUGAGCUGUGAUGGGGAGAAGACAUUGUGUCUUCGAGUCGUUGAUUUCACACUGCCGAGAAAAGCCUCUAGAUAGAAAAUAGGUGCCCGUACCGCAAACCGACACAGGUAGUCAAGAUGAGAAUUCUAAGGUGAGCGAGCGAACUCUCGUUAAGGAACUCGGCAAAAUGACCCCGUAACUUCGGGAGAAGGGGUGCUCUUUAGGGUUAACGCCCAGAAGAGCCGCAGUGAAUAGGCCCAAGCGACUGUUUAUCAAAAACACAGGUCUCUGCUAAACCGUAAGGUGAUGUAUAGGGGCUGACGCCUGCCCGGUGCUGGAAGGUUAAGAGGAGUGGUUAGCUUCUGCGAAGCUACGAAUCGAAGCCCCAGUAAACGGCGGCCGUAACUAUAACGGUCCUAAGGUAGCGAAAUUCCUUGUCGGGUAAGUUCCGACCCGCACGAAAGGCGUAACGAUUUGGGCACUGUCUCAACGAGAGACUCGGUGAAAUCAUAGUACCUGUGAAGAUGCAGGUUACCCGCGACAGGACGGAAAGACCCCGUGGAGCUUUACUGUAGCCUGAUAUUGAAAUUCGGCACAGCUUGUACAGGAUAGGUAGGAGCCUUUGAAACGUGAGCGCUAGCUUACGUGGAGGCGCUGGUGGGAUACUACCCUAGCUGUGUUGGCUUUCUAACCCGCACCACUUAUCGUGGUGGGAGACAGUGUCAGGCGGGCAGUUUGACUGGGGCGGUCGCCUCCUAAAAGGUAACGGAGGCGCUCAAAGGUUCCCUCAGAAUGGUUGGAAAUCAUUCAUAGAGUGUAAAGGCAUAAGGGAGCUUGACUGCGAGACCUACAAGUCGAGCAGGGUCGAAAGACGGACUUAGUGAUCCGGUGGUUCCGCAUGGAAGGGCCAUCGCUCAACGGAUAAAAGCUACCCCGGGGAUAACAGGCUUAUCUCCCCCAAGAGUUCACAUCGACGGGGAGGUUUGGCACCUCGAUGUCGGCUCAUCGCAUCCUGGGGCUGUAGUCGGUCCCAAGGGUUGGGCUGUUCGCCCAUUAAAGCGGUACGCGAGCUGGGUUCAGAACGUCGUGAGACAGUUCGGUCCCUAUCCGUCGUGGGCGUAGGAAAUUUGAGAGGAGCUGUCCUUAGUACGAGAGGACCGGGAUGGACAUACCUCUGGUGUACCAGUUGUCGUGCCAACGGCAUAGCUGGGUAGCUAUGUGUGGACGGGAUAAGUGCUGAAAGCAUCUAAGCAUGAAGCCCCCCUCAAGAUGAGAUUUCCCAACUUCGGUUAUAAGAUCCCUCAAAGAUGAUGAGGUUAAUAGGUUCGAGGUGGAAGCAUGGUGACAUGUGGAGCUGACGAAUACUAAUCGAUCGAAGACUUAAUCAA
RNAcentral lists this ribosomal RNA (2921 nucleotides) under Staphylococcus aureus. RNAcentral's name for it is "bacterial LSU rRNA". It matches the Rfam family "Bacterial large subunit ribosomal RNA". Lineage: Bacteria; Bacillati; Bacillota; Bacilli; Caryophanales; Staphylococcaceae. The record is from RNAcentral.